CAUUAGGCCCGAUGGCGCGACGCCCAGCGAAGUCCGGUGAGAAUCCGGCGCUGUCCCGCAACCGUGAAGCCCCCACCGAGGGGACGAGUCGGGUCGCCUGACGUCGGGCCGGAUUGGAAGCCUUCGGAGGAAGGGUUGCCAGCCAUC
Molecule: small RNA, 147 nt
Filed under: Actinomycetota bacterium
Lineage: Bacteria; Bacillati; Actinomycetota
Source: RNAcentral